Long non-coding RNA from Melanotaenia boesemani (Boeseman's rainbowfish), 321 nucleotides. RefSeq lists it as uncharacterized. Lineage: Eukaryota; Metazoa; Chordata; Actinopteri; Atheriniformes; Melanotaeniidae. The record is from RefSeq and is a predicted model, not a curated record. The transcript has 3 exons.
CUAAAAAAAUAACUUACACGAGGUUAUAGAAAUAUUUCUUUUGUUCCUUUUUAAGCUUUAAAUAGAGCUUUUAGGUCUUUCUUUUUUAGCCAUCUCCCAGCUUGAGUUAAGUCAGGGUUGGUGGUCUUGAAAAAUCCAGCGGAGGCCCCCAGCAGCUACCUAUCCUGAAGCUGGUCCUGAGGUUCGUUCUUUGUGUUUUUUCUCCUUGCUAAUGAACACAGCUGAUCAGGAAGGAAAUGAAAACGGUUCUGGUUUCUCACGCCUGGUCCACGUCUUGCAGGGCUUUUGACACGCUUCAUCUUGGAGGCCAUGAUGCAGUCA